This is a long non-coding RNA of Cavia porcellus (domestic guinea pig), 1048 nucleotides long. RefSeq lists it as uncharacterized. The record is from RefSeq and is a predicted model, not a curated record. The transcript is spliced from 3 exons. Lineage: Eukaryota; Metazoa; Chordata; Mammalia; Rodentia; Caviidae.
UGUCAGCAUUCUGUAAGCUCCACGGGUGAGCUGGAAGAACAAUUCAACAUCCAGUUCUGAAGAUGAGCAGCCAUUUAAAUGUAUGCAAAAGGCAAAGAAUAUAAUUGCCCUUCCUUUAAAAGGCGACAAGGACUACAAAUCCUAGUGGCAAAGGACAGCUACUGAAGAGAACAAAACCAGUGACGGCUCACUGCUCGCUCACACCAACAGCAUCCCACACUUGGCUGCAGCACACCUCUGGGAGGGCCUGGAGUCAGCCUGGACCGUGAAGAAGUAAUGUUCCUGAGACAGGGUCUGGCAAAGUCUCAGCCAUACUGCCGUCUCUCCCUGAGCUUCUCUAGAAUACAGAGAGGAAGCGUCAGGGUUCGACCGAAGUACCCGAACGAAGAGAGUAGGCUCUAGGAUGAGCUCUUACACUGUCCUCAACCACAGGCUGCACAUGUAUGUGGUCCAGAGACACAGAAGAGUAACACUCCCUAUGUCUCAUACUUUGUCAAACCUCACCCAACAAUUCUUGAAAGUGAAAAACAUUCUUGUGGGGUGUGAUGGCACACGCCGGUUAUCCCAGCACUCAGGAGGCUGAGGCAGGAAAGUCGCUGCGAGUUUAAGACCCUUAAUUAUAGACACCAAUAACAGAAGCUACUACACUGGACAGGCUGAGACUGGAUCAGCCUCCUGGGAGAACGGGGAUUUGAAGGGUGUGCCACCAAGGCCAGCCUCCAAGAAUCAGUUUUAAUAGCAUCACAGAUGACCUGGAAGCCAAUCAGAUUCUGAGGACCAACUGCUUAACCCUGGGACUACCCCACUGACUCCUGGAUAUUUUCAAGCACUUCUUGGAGGCAGAGUCUGCGAAGAAUUACCUGGAGGUCUAAUGCGCAAAAUGACUCGGUCUCUCACGUUUCACCAAACCAAAGAGAAAAAAGCAUGUGAGCUAUCCUCGUUAUAAUCAACUAAUUCACAAGAGCUCACCUCAGAUUCUGUGGCUGAUCUUGGUAAUUUAAUGUGGGUGGCUUUGAUCCCAAUCUGCAAAAGCAAACAUUUAAAACAG